CUUUCCAAUCUGUAGGAAUAAAGAGUUACGACAUAGUAAUCAGAAUUUUCUGAGAAAUUAUCCACACUACUUUAUGUACAUCGUGAAAACCCUAAACUAGAACAGUUGAUAGUGAAUGAUCCUUUUAUCACAGAACUGAGAGAUGUUUUCUGCUCUACAGAAUUAACUCAAUGGAAUAUAUUGGAUAAAGUUUUCUAUAAAUAGUAUCAUAUGUAGAGCAAAACUAUAGAGGAUCAAAACACAGCAUCAUUAUAUGGUUGGGGAACAGUGCGGGAAACAAUCUGGUUUUGAUGGAAUCUCAAAGUUUUGAAAGAACCAGUCUCUGGAUUAUUUCCAGGCCAUCCAGACAGCUAUUUCAACUGGAACAAGUGACCUUUGGAACAGACUAGAACACAGCAGCCUGGCCAGACAGAGAGGAGGGAGUAGUCAAUUGGGAAGGGCCCCAACAUGUUCUUGUAAAAUGUCAUUUGAAGUAAGAGGACAAUAAAAAUUAAGGACAAAUAAAUGAGCUUAAAAAUAUUUAAAACCAAGAAAACUGUGUGACCACAAUAUGGGCUUCAAGGAAAGAUACAGUAGGAAUCUAUAGCUAUCAUUCUUUAAUACACAUGUUCAACAAAUACUGGUCUCCAUCCCCUUCAGUAUAAGGAAUGUCUCUCAAUUACAUAAUAUUAAUCUUUAAAUCUUCACCACCUCUUUGAAACUCAGUAAUCAUUUGUUUUCCUUCCUUCAGUUGGGCAAAAUUUCCUUAGUCUAUGAUUCUAUAGUGGUU
Molecule: long non-coding RNA, 769 nt
Organism: Panthera uncia (snow leopard)
Lineage: Eukaryota; Metazoa; Chordata; Mammalia; Carnivora; Felidae
Exons: 3
Source: RefSeq, a predicted model, not a curated record